RNAcentral lists this ribosomal RNA (675 nucleotides) under uncultured cyanobacterium. Its description in RNAcentral is "bacterial SSU rRNA". It matches the Rfam family "Bacterial small subunit ribosomal RNA", at positions 344 to 1032 of the family's 1533-position model. The record is from RNAcentral. Lineage: Bacteria; Bacillati; Cyanobacteriota.
GAAUUCGCCCUUGGGGAAUUUUCCGCAAUGGGCGAAAGCCUGACGGAGCAAUACCGCGUGAGGGAGGAGGGCUCUUGGGUUGUAAACCUCUUUUCUCAGGGAAGAACAGAAUGACGGUACCUGAGGAAUAAGCAUCGGCUAACUCCGUGCCAGCAGCCGCGGUAAUACGGAGGAUGCAAGCGUUAUCCGGAAUGAUUGGGCGUAAAGGGUCCGCAGGUGGCAUUGUAAGUCUGCUGUUAAAGAGUUUGGCUCAACCAAAUAAGAGCAGUGGAAACUACAAAGCUAGAGUGUGGUCGGGGCAGAGGGAAUUCCUGGUGUAGCGGUGAAAUGCGUAGAUAUCAGGAAGAACACCAGUGGCGAAGGCGCUCUGCUAGGCCGAGACUGACACUGAGGGACGAAAGCUAGGGGAGCGAAUGGGAUUAGAUACCCCAGUAGUCCUAGCCGUAAACGAUGGAUACUAGGCGUAGCUCGUAUCGACCCGAGCUGUGCCGGAGCUAACGCGUUAAGUAUCCCGCCUGGGGAGUACGCAGGCAACUGUGAAACUCAAAGGAAUUGACGGGGGCCCGCACAAGCGGUGGAGUAUGUGGUUUAAUUCGAUGCAACGCGAAGAACCUUACCAAGGCUUGACAUGUCACGAAUCCUAUUGAAAGAUGGGAGUGCCUUCGGGAGCGUGAA